UACGGAAGGUCCGGGCGUUAUCCGGAUUUAUUGGGUUUAAAGGGAGCGUAGGCCGGAGAUUAAGCGUGUUGUGAAAUGUAGACGCUUAACGUCUGCACUGCAGCGCGAACUGGUUUCCUUGAGUACGCACAAAGUGGGCGGAAUUCGUGGUGUAGCGGUGAAAUGCUUAGAUAUCACGAAGAACUCCGAUUGCGAAGGCAGCUCACUGGAGCGCAACUGACGCUGAAGCUCGAAAGUGCGGGUAUCGAACAGG
This 253-nucleotide ribosomal RNA is filed under the name Segatella copri DSM 18205. RNAcentral describes it as "Prevotella copri DSM 18205 partial 16S ribosomal RNA". It matches the Rfam family "Bacterial small subunit ribosomal RNA", at positions 524 to 776 of the family's 1533-position model. Lineage: Bacteria; Pseudomonadati; Bacteroidota; Bacteroidia; Bacteroidales; Prevotellaceae. The record is from RNAcentral.